GAUGAACGCUAGCGGCAGGCUUAACACAUGCAAGUCGAGGGGUAUAGUUCUUCGGAACUAGAGACCGGCGCACGGGUGCGUAACGCGUAUGCAAUCUACCUUUUACAGAGGGAUAGCCCAGAGAAAGAUUAAUACCCGAUGGUAUAAAGAGUUCGCAUGUUCUCUUUAUUAAAGAAUUUCGGUAAGCGAUGGGGAUGCGUUCCAUUAGAUAGUUGGCGGGUAACGGCCCACCAAGUCUACGAUGGAUAGGGGUUCUGAGAGGAAGGUCCCCCACAUUGGAACUGAGACACGGUCCAAACUCCUACGGGAGGCAGCAGUGAGGAAUAUUGGUCAAUGGACGAGAGUCUGAACCAGCCAAGUAGCGUGAAGGAUGACUGCCCUAUGGGUUGUAAACUUCUUUAUAAGGGAAUAAAGUGAGGACGUGUCCCUUUUGUAUGUACCUUAUGAAUAAGGAUUGGCUAACUCCGUUG
RNAcentral lists this ribosomal RNA (470 nucleotides) under uncultured bacterium. RNAcentral's name for it is "bacterial SSU rRNA". It matches the Rfam family "Bacterial small subunit ribosomal RNA", at positions 28 to 508 of the family's 1533-position model. The record is from RNAcentral.